CCUGAGAAACGGCUACUACAUSCAAGGAAGGCAGCAGGCGCGCAAAUUACCCAAUCCCGACACGGGGAGGUAGUGACAAUAAAUACUGAUACASSGCUCUUUUGGGUCUUGUAAUCGGAAUGAGUACAAUUUAAAUCCCUUAACGAGGAACAAUUGGAGGGCAAGUCUGGUGCCAGCAGCCGCGGUAAUUCCAGCUCCAAUAGCGUAUAUUAAAGUUGUUGUGGUUAAAAAGCUCGUAGUUGAACCUUGGGCCUGGCUGGCCGGUCCGCCUCACCGCGUGCACUGGUCCGGCCGGGCCUUUCCCUCUGCGGAACCCCAUGCCCUUCACUGGGUGUGGCGGGGAAACAGGACUUUUACUUUGAAAAAAUUAGAGUGCUCAAGGCAGGCCUAUGCUCGAAUACAUUAGCAUGGAAUAAUAGAAUAGGACGUGUGGUUCUAUUUUGUUGGUUUCUAGGACCGCCGUAAUGAUUAAUAGGGACAGUCGGGGGCAUCAGUAUUCAAUUGUCAGAGGUGAAAUUCUUGGAUUUAUUGAAGACUAACUACUGCGAAAGCAUUUGCCAAGGAUGUUUUCAUUAAUCAGGA
Molecule: ribosomal RNA, 582 nt
Filed under: cf. Trichoderma sp. 474/LC1
Lineage: Eukaryota; Fungi; Ascomycota; Sordariomycetes; Hypocreales; Hypocreaceae
Description: SSU rRNA
Rfam family: Eukaryotic small subunit ribosomal RNA
Source: RNAcentral